Molecule: ribosomal RNA, 497 nt
Filed under: uncultured bacterium
Lineage: Bacteria
Description: partial 16S ribosomal RNA
Rfam family: Bacterial small subunit ribosomal RNA
Source: RNAcentral
GAUGAACGCUGGCGGCGUGCCUAAUACAUGCAAGUCGAGCGAACAGAUAAGGAGCUUGCUCCUUUGACGUUAGCGGCGGACGGGUGAGUAACACGUGGAUAACCUACCUAUAAGACUGGGAUAACUUCGGGAAACCGGAGCUAAUACCGGAUAACAUAUUGAACCGCAUGGUUCAAUAGUGAAAGGCGGCUUUGCUGUCACUUAUAGAUGGAUCCGCGCCGUAUUAGCUAGUUGGUAAGGUAACGGCUUACCAAGGCAACGAUACGUAGCCGACCUGAGAGGGUGAUCGGCCACACUGGAACUGAGACACGGUCCAGACUCCUACGGGAGGCAGCAGUAGGGAAUCUUCCGCAAUGGGCGAAAGCCUGACGGAGCAACGCCGCGUGAGUGAUGAAGGUCUUCGGAUCGUAAAACUCUGUUAUCAGGGAAGAACAAAUGUGUAAGUAACUGUGCACAUCUUGACGGUACCUGAUCAGAAGGCCACGGCUAACUACGUG